AGCAAAUCAAAAGAGUUUUUCACUCCACAUUUGAGCUCUCCCACGUUUUUGCCUCCAACCUUCCAAAUGCUCAAGUGUCUUAGCUUUUCAAAGCUUCAAAAGCUCUUCAACUUCUUCUUCUAAUCUUCUUGUUCAUCUCUACAAGUAAAAAGUGUUGUUUGCUUUAAUAUUUCACUCCUCUAAUCACCUCUUGUGUGUGUCCACUUUGGUUGAAAGGGUUGUCUCAAUAGUACCAAAGUGUGAGAGAAGGUUUUUGAGCUCAACCAUAAAGCUCUAGUUUGGUUCUAUAGAGUUUCCGGGAAAACUCUUAGGUCGAAUCUACCUUGAAAGAUUUCUAAGUUUUUAAGAGUUCCUUGAUACUCUAAGGUGUGAGUAUACCCGUAAAAGACUGGUUCCUAAACGAAGUAGUUUUAAAGCUUAGAGAGGUUUUUAAGAGUUCCUUAAUACUCUAAGGUACUAACUUACCCGUAAAAGUUAGAGGUUCUUAAGAGUGCCUUUGAUACUUUAAGGUGUGAGUCUACCUGUAAAAAACUGAUUCUUAAGCGAAGUAGCCUUAAAGCUUAAAGAGGUUCUUAAGAGUUUCCUUGAUACUCUAAGGUUUUGUCAUAAUCUUUAGGCUAGUGAAUUUCGAUAGUUGGUCGAGACUGGAUUAACCCUUGUUUAGGUGAACCGGUAUAAAUUCUCUUGUGUUGUUCUUUGUUAACUUUAGUUUUUAUUUUUCAUCUAAAAACAACUAAACAACAAUUAAUUGAAAAGGAUCUCUCUUCCAGUUAUCUGGUCAAAUACAGAGGUUGACUACUUUACGCAGAUCCCUCAUCCAAUUAUCUGGUCAACUAUCUGAGAUUAUAUUCAUUGCUUUAAAUUUUUAUUCAUAUAUUUGUUCAAGCAUUUACUUAUCAUAUAUAUAUCCAGUUAUCUGGUAAUAUCUUGAUUAUCAAAUAUAUAUCCAGUUAUCUGAUCAUUUACUCUAUAAUAUAACUUGUGUUUAUAAUAUAACUUAGUAUUCAUAUACUACAGUUGUUUAUAAAACACUAUCUAAAAGUUGAUUCUGUACUCAUAUACUAUAGUAAACUUUAAGAGAAAAGACAAGUCUAAUAUAUUAUAUUCCUUAAAAUCAUAUAAUAGUAUUAUAUUGCUAACAAUAUUAUACUAUUAUUAUUAUACAACCAUUUGUGUACUUAAGUGUGUGCAGGUAAUUCCGCUAUUAAUCUGUACAAAUCGAAAAGAGGCUAUUAUCCCCCUUUAUAGCAUCGGAUUACGAUCCAACAGAUACUUCCACACAAGCAUAGUUCGUUGAAGGCAUCCUCCUUCCCCUCUUUCCCAAAAGAAGGCAAGGUUCGGAUUCGUCAACAAUUAAAUAAGUCGACUAGCUAGUCAGACGUGGGGUAAAUGUAGGGUAGCCAUCGCCACCCGUCCACCCCAAAUGAGAUCCGUCCCUAAGGAACGAAUCUCGCCAUACCCAAUUCGAGAUUUGGACCCACUACUAAGUAACAUUCGUUGGGGGUUAUUCUAGGUAUCCCCUCCAUCUCAUACAACAAAUAACAAGUCCUCUACAAUUGAGUUUUUAAACUUAAAUCUAAUCUAUCAUAAUUCAAAAACAAUAUACACAUCCACAGCUAUACGACAUAUCAGCUCUGAUGCCAGUAAAGAUAUACUAUAAUGUUUCCUCCUGUUACGUUCACCUUAAAUUGUCCAUGUGAUCGACCCAAGUAUAGUCAGUGGCGUAUCCAGGAGGGGCAAGGGAGGGCAAUUGCCCCCCUAAAAGUUGGAAAAAAAUCGAUGACCUAUAUGUAAUAAUUUUUUUUAUAGGGGGUAAGUGUAAUUUUCACAAUAUAUUAAUAUUUUUUAAGGGUUAAUAUAUAAAUUUCAAAAUAUAUUAAUCUCUCUAGUCUCUCCCUCUUCUCCCCCACUGCCCCACGUUUCACAAAUCUUCAAACCCCCUUCUCCCCCGUUUUCCCACAAAUCCAUCUUCUCCGGCCUUCGAGAAAAAUAAGUUGAUAGUAUUGCAAAAACAUUGGAUAUGAAAGAGUUAAAUACUGGACAAGGAACAACUAUAGACAACGAAGUUAUUUUAAAAAUAUUUAAUGAUACGUGUCCUCGUAGGACAUUGAAGUAAUGUAAAAUGUAUUUGAAAUUUUUAUUGUUAAUUAAAUAAAUAUAUUUAUUUUUAAUUUGAAUAUUAAUUAUGAAAUGAAUGUAUUGAUUUUUUAUAGGUAUUUAUAAUCAAUUAUAUAAAUAGGUGAUGCCAAAAUUUAUAUAGGUUUUUUAAUUAGUACAAAAAAAAAUUUUCGCCUUCGGCGAAUCUUGCCCCCUGUCAGGGAAUCCUGGAUACGCCACUGAGUAUAAUCCAACACAAGCCCCAUGUUGAGAUGAUCGUCAUGUUCUCGUGUCUGUCCAAUCCAUAUAUGAUUCGAACCCAACAUUCAAAAAGUCACCGGUAUGUCUACAGAUAUGCUUUUAUACUAUAUAUAUAUAUACACUGAGGAUCAGAGACGGCCGGCCGUAUGAUGCGGCCCGUUUCUGAUCCACACUGUAUAUAUAUAAUUUUUUAUUUCUAAUGGGGACAAAAUAUAAAAAAACCUAAAACAUAAACCACUAUUCCUUCUCCGUCGGACGACAGAUUUUGGUGGUGGCGAUGGUAGUGGUGGAUUCAGCUUCAGGGGAUGGCGAUGGUGGUGGUGGCUUCAGCUUCAGUUCGCAGCUAGUGUGGCGGCAGUGACAAUCCCAAACCCGUCUCCGAUCUAGGCGUUCUCCCUGGCAGUUCCGAUCACUCGAUCGCAGUUCCGAUCUCCAGUCCCGUUCGCAGUUCCGAUCUCCAGUCCCGUUCGCAGUUCCGAUCACUCGAUCGCAGUUCCGAUCACUCGAUCGCAGUUCCGGCACUCGAUCGCAGUUCCGAUCUCCAGUUCCGUUCGGACGGCCGGAUCGAAGGUCCGCAAAAGGGACCGUUCGAAAAACCGGCCGUCCCAGAAUCACUCCAAACAGGGUCGUUCCUGAUAUUUUCUGUAUAUAUAUAUAUAUGAUCUAAUCACUCCAAUCUUUCAAUCUUUAUUUUGUCAAAUCCGACCCAAAGAACCAGUGAAUUCAUGUAUCAGGAGACGAUUAGGUUGAGAGUAGAGAGCCGAAAGGGAAACCCAAAGGCGGAUGUUGCGAUCAAUAUAACGUAUAAGGAAAAAUCUCCAUACAAUCCUGUGGUAGCCUAAGGGUCAGGGAAGGUCUGUGGAAUGAGCUUGUCGCAAACAACUCCGUCAUUCAGUACAUCAGAAUUGACUUCCACCAAUAGAUCUUUGACCAACUGCUUCUUCAUUAAUUCACAGUCUAACUCCACCGUAACAUCAUCAUCCUCUAGACAUCUAACCUUAUCCACAAAGUUCGUUGAAGGGUCCAGUUUUGCUAUUGAAUCUAAGGGUUCUCACGAAUUUGUGUUUCGGCCCAUACCUUGCCAUUCCACCGGUACUUGUUCGAUCCGUCGUUGUCUGAUUUUUAAAAUACGAUAACCAAUAAUCUGGUGUGGCAUCACUAUUGGGUGAGCGUCUUGUGCUAACUCCGGUAGCUCCAUCCUGUCAUUAUCUCUAAUCACACCCACCACCGCUUUCAAAAGUGAUAUGUGAAUCACUGGGUGAAUGGUGCUCCCUGGCGGCAAUGCCAAUUUAUACCCAAACAUGUUACCGAAGGGGAAAAACCACCUAACUAGCAGACUGUUUUUUACCUGCAUUCAAAGAAGACAAGAAAAGAAGGAAGAAUAUAUAGCAGCCAUGGGUGAUGGAUGGGUGUAGACUGUAGUAGACUGGACCACUUUGAAGUCUGGAGGACGUAGAAGAUAAUCAAGACGAAUUAAUGACCACCAACUCGUCAAGUAUAUCAUAAUAUCAAGACAAAGAUAUCAACCCAUCUGACUCCUGAAAGACUGCUAUGAAAUAAAAACAUAACGAAUAGUAAAGGACUUCGAUAUACAUUAAAUACAUUGGUGUGUAAAUAAAUAAAAUAUAAGUGAUGAGUAAAUACUGAAUAGUGAUGAUAUUUUAACAGGGUGUGUGUUUGAUAAAUCCUAAAUGAUAUCCAUAUCAUUACAUGGAAAUUAAAGGUAAUGACUAAUGACAGAUAUCAUAGAUUCAUACCCAUGGCCACCCAGCUUCUCUCCAAACACAUCGUGGUUCUUCCGCAUUUCCAUGGUCAUUAAUGUCACCAUUGGGCACUCGGUUGCGGUCCAAUGCAUCUUGUCUGUAGGUUGGACAUGAGAACUUGGGAUGUUGAACAAAUGAAACUUUUUUCCACCAAAGUUUCAUUGCCUAAAAUAUUGUAUAAUACGAAAAUGAAUCAAAUCAUUAAUUUGAAAUGUUAAGGUGUGUGUUCGAGUUCAUAAAUCAUAAUACCUGCCAAUAUAUCCAAACUGCAACCUUCUGAGGCAUUAGCCAGAAAAACAACUCUGUUUUAAUGGAAGAUGAUGAGGAAGAAGACACUCUUUUGGCAUUUAAAGUAGCUGUGAAAUAGUUUCCGAGAGUUGGAUGUUGAACUGAGAUGGAGAGAAAGAGCUUCUCAUUUGGAGCGUUUGCAUGCAAAUGCCAAUUUCCUAGCAUAUCCUGAAACCAGAAACAUGAUUAUACAUACAUUUUCUGUUGUAUGAAAAAACUUAAGGAAAUUUUAUAUGUAUCUGAAUUCCCACCAACAGAAAUACUAUAAAUGGAGGAAACAUGCACGACAACUGCAAAUGAUAUCCAAAUAAGGAACAGGGAGUACUUUUAUAUGAAGCAACCAACAGGAAAGAAAAUAAAUGAAUGAGUGAUUUGAAAUUUGCAUACCAUAAAUGGACUGACAUGCAAAGGUUUAGCAACUGAGUCAGAUCCCGGGUUGAAAACAAAAGUCACUCUUUCCCCCCAUGGUGUAUUGGUCACCUGACAUCAAUAUUACAAUACAAUCCAUAUUAAAAAAAAAUCAUUUGUUUAGAGUAAAGAGAAAAUUGAGCUUAAUGAGCUACCACUACCAGAGGAAUGUGAAGAAUUUCAGAGAUUAUCCUAAAAAUAGUUGAAUUUCGAUUACUAAUGCUACUAGAGUCUAGGUAGAGGUUAUUAUAAUGAUCAAGGAGGAAACUAUUAAGAAAGAUGCUCUCACAUUUCAUAUCAAGAAUAUCACAGUCAUCUUUAUCUUGAUGGUGUGUGUGUAAAUAUUUAAGAUUGCAGAUGAGAUAUCAAAAUGACGGGGUGACUGAAGAUCUGAAUUUGUUUUAAAGCGAGCCUGAGAAGUGAAAAGAUUCAAAAUCCAAGAGCAAAAUUCAGCAAGCAAGCUAUCUGUUUUAUAAAGGUUUUUAAAACGGUCAUGUACUCAUGUCUUUGGAAUUGGAAGGGUCAUUAAUUGGAAGUUGAAAGUUCAGGGUUAUAUUUGUGAAUGUUUUGAAAUGUUAGGGUAUCUUUCUUGAUAGAAACAAUUCAAUUCAAUUAGAUUAGAUUAGAUUAGAUUCAUUUCAAUUCAUUUAGAUUCAAAUUGAAUCAAUCCAAAACCUUCUAGAAUUCUAGUUGAGUAAACAAAUUGAGAAAUUCAAAUGGUAUACCAAUAUUACUCUAAUACUCACUUCUGCAAUGCACUUGGUCAAUUUGGAUCCAGAACCAUCUUCCGGUUGAUCGAAACAGUAGUAGACACUCAGAGGAUUCUGAUCAUAACCCACGCUUGUUGGAAUCGUCAGCAAAAAACUGAAACACACUUAUUGACAUUAAUUAUUAUUAAAAAAAAUGACAAACAAAACAAAGAAUUAAUAAAUUAACGAGAGACGAACACAGCGCCACGUGUCGAAGUAAUACGGCGAGCCUCGGUGGCCGAAAGAUGAUCAACACGAGUCUGUUCGGAUUGUUCUACACGGUCUAGAUUAAUUACCGCAUAACGUACGGGGUAAUCGAAUUCAUGGUACACCGGACGUCUACGGACGUGGCGAACAUAUCCUUCGUAUAGCCGUAUCGCCGCAUUCUCCUCCACUUCCCCGUCACUACCAGCACGGAAGCAGGAGGUUGAAGACGAGAUGAUAAUUCGGAAUGCUAGGUAGAAGGAGCAGAUUGUUGAUGUCAUACUGUAGUACGCGAUUGACCCCAUCAGGUACACCAAUUCCAUCCCCAUCUUCCUCGAUCACAAUUCGCAAUCAUUCAGUAUAGACUGAUAUUGUUACAACUUGACAGGUAAAGAAGAAACAAAAAAUUAUUAAAAUCCCCAAAUUGACUCGGGUCGGAUUUAUAGAUCCGAUUAACCAAUGAUUAAGGUGGAUCCUAUUAUUUCCAUACCUCAUAAAUCCAUAAUAUUUAAGCGGAUAACUGGAUAAGGCCUGGUAAAAAAAUUGAUGAAAAGAGAGAAAUAUUAUAAAUGACCCGGUAAUAUAUAAUAGAUUAUUUUCCAAAAUAUCUAAUAUAUAAAUGGGUCCGGGUCCAGUUGGGUUUGGCUAAUCUGGAUCUGGGUCUCUGGGUCCAAAAUUAGUCCCAGACUCGGGCCCGGACGUUCUGACCCAGACAAUUUCCUUCUGAACCCGGAUCUGGUUCAAACUCAGACCAGCUUCAUGGGUUCGGGUCCAGCCCAAACCCGAUCCAUUUAAAAAUUGUCCAAACAAGUGUCUUUUUAAAUAUGAAAACUUAUUUCAAAAAUAAAAUAAAAUAUGAAAAUUCAUUUUUUUGGUCGAAAAUAAAAUAAAAUAAAAUCAGGAGAGAUGCAACAUUUUUUAAUAUAUAUAAAAAAGUGUGUAUUACAAGAAAAACGAUAUUUAGACAAGUUAAAAAACGUUAUUCAUCCUGGAAAAGAUUAUCCCUUUUAAUUCUCACAUAAUGUGCUACCUAUACCAAGAACUAUGAAUAUAAUUAAAAACAAUUGUAAUUAGUCAUUAACUAAAUCUAAAAGUUUUAAAAAGAAUUAGUUAGAAUAUACAUGUAUAAAUACUAACCUUGUAUAAAGAUUUCUAAUUGAAUAAAGUGUAUGGUAUCAGAGCGUACGAACUGGAUUCACAUGCUUCCUUGCACCUACAAUAACUGGAUGAGACAUGGGUUUUUUUCACCCACCUCAAUUCCUCUUUGUGUAAUAUUGUGUUUGUGUUUAACUUAGCUCUAAAAACGUAAUUCUUUCGCUCAUGUUUGUCUCAAUGGAAGAAUUGAAGCAGCUGCGCUUUAAAGGAAUUCCAAAAGGAAUGAAAAAUUUGAGACAAAAAAGGAACUUGUCCAGAGGGUUUUGGAAGCGUUCUGAGAGCAGAGAUUAUCCAAGGAGAGAGGUUAGGAAGGAUGAUUUCAACAAAAGGAUAUUAGAUAACUAGUAGUGGUCUACUUCUGAUUUUGGGACUCACAACUCUUGUUUGUACAACAUUCUGAUAGGUUUAUAUUGUAAAUUCUUUUUUAAUUUUUAUAAUUUACAUUUUGUUGAUAUCCGCCUCGUUCCGUGCCCGGUUGUUGGGUCCGGCACAAGGGGUCAAUGAACUUGAUCCACUCCGUUCCUCUCUCUGGUCAUUUUGACCGGGGUGGAUCACGAAACAAGAUAUUUUUACUCUCAUUCUUCAUUUUUUGCCUCAUUCUUCCUUACAUGGUUCUAUUUUUGGGCAAGACCAUCUACUCCUAAAGUCCAUCUACGUGACCCGCUCAUUCUCAGUUCUCUUUUUUUUGAAUAAAAAUCGUGAUAAAUAUAUACCCAAAAAAAUGACACACCACAUGGCAGUGAGUUCCGUUGAACCUGACCCCAUAUAGAGGCACGCCCGAAAGCUACAAUUGACACAAAUCGUAAUAAAAACAAAGAUAACUCACACACUCCUUAAAAAACUCAUUUGUUUAGUCUCAGAUUUCCACACACCCCUCCCUUUCAUCUUAGUUUCAGAAACCCUUUAAAAAUGUUAAGAUAUGCUUUCGCCCGCCAUGUGUUUGUGUCCACCCGAGGACUCGACACUCCCACGCGACCAUAGUCCAUUGAAAACAUCCUCCUUCCCCUCCUCCCUGAAAGAAGACAAGGGUCGAAAUCGUCAACAAUCAACUAAGUCGACUAGUCAGACGUGGGUAGUUUGUCAAAUAAAGCCUGGCUCGUUUAAGCUCGGGCUCGCGAGCCCGAGCCUGAAGCUCAAGCUCGUUAAACUUGACGAACGGAGCUCGAGCUUAGACAUUCCAAGCUCGGCUCGGCUCGUUAAGCUCGGUAUGGAGGUGUAGCAUAGAUGGUAAAACGUUUGUUAAGCAUGUGAGAGGCUCGACUCUAUAAGAAAAAACUCGGGUCGUUUGACACCCUAGACGUGGGACAAACGUAGGGUACUGCCGGCACCUGUCCAUCCCAAAAGAGUUCCGUUCCUAAGAAACAGACCCCAACCGGACUCCUCAACCCCUCCUCAGGUAUCUUAUCAUACCCAAUUUGGGAUCCGGACCCACUAUUAAGUAACAUCCGUUGGGGGGUUAUUUUGGGUACCCCCUCUAUCCCAUACAACAAAUAACAUGUCCUCCAUAUAGUUGAGUUUCUAGAUUUAAAUCUAGAUCUAUCAUAGACAAUACGUACAUCCACAGUUAUACGUCGUGCCAGCUCUGGUGCCGGUAAAGAUUUGCUCUCAUGCUUCCUCCGAUUACGCUUACCCCAAAUUGCCCAUGUGGUUGGCCCAAAUAUAGUCCAACAUAUGCCCCGCCCCAUGCAGGUAAUCGUCGUGUUCUCGUGUCUACCCAGUCCAUAUAUGAUUCGAUCCCUACAUCUGUUGGCGUCAAAAAAUCCUCUAUAUGCCUACAGAUCUGCCUCCAUACAUCUCUGGAAUAACUGCAUCCGAAGUAUAUAUGGUCGAAACUUUCCGGCUCUGUUGUGCACAACCAACACUGUUUAGGUUGAGGGCACCCCCACCCAAUCAGCUUGUCCUGCGUUGUGAUCCUUCGAAGGCUAGCUCUCCACAUCGUCAUAGCAUACUUGUUGACGCCCGAUGCCCAUAUCCCUGCUGCUCUGUCUUCCCUUGUUCUCCUCUCUCUGAUCGUAUCCCACACAUUUCGAAAUGUGAAGCCUGUGCCACUCCUUGUCUAUAUGCAUAUGUAAUCCUCUCCACAAGUCAUGCCCCUGUUUAUCUUCGACCUUUUGUCCACAAUCUCUAACCAUGCUUAUGAGUCAACUCCACUGCGUCUCUGGAUGUCUACAAGUGCCCUUCCUCUGACAUACCUCUCGCGCAUCCAUGUAACCCAAAUAAAAUCCUCUGCAUUCCAUAUCCUCCGCACUCUCUUCAUUACUGAUGCCGUAAUUGUGUCCUCAAAUCGUCUGAAACCAAUUCCACCCUCAACCUUUGGUAACGCCAUUUGGUCCCAACUGACCUCCUUCUUUCAGUCCCAUAAUAAUUUGUAUGUUAGGCUCUGCAACGAUCCCAGUACCUCACUUGAUAACCUGCAGGUCGAAAUACCAAAACAUAAGAUUACUGACUAUACCUCAAUGAAAUAAUUGCAGUCCCCCUGCAUGUGACAGAAGGCGGGUCUUCCAUCUUGCCACCAUGGAAGUGGCCAUCUCUACCAAUCUACAACAAUCGCUCGGCCUAAAGAUUGUUGGGCUUAGUGGGAGACCAAGGCAUCUCGUGGGGAAUUGUCCUAUCGGCAUUCCUAGUAUCCCUACCAGUUGUGAAAUUUGGGGGGUCCCAUGUGAAAAGAACACUUCGCUCUUCACCUUGUUCACUUUUAGUCCUGUACAUGUAGCAAACACACCAAAUACAUUCAUCACAGAUAAAAGCGACUUCCUUUUGGCCUUACAGAAGACCAUUAGGUUGUCAACAUAAAUGAGGCAUGACACAGAUAGUGUUCCUUGGAUCACGUAUCUCUGAAUUUCCUUCCUAUCUAUACUCUCCUCGAUGGCUUCCAAGAAAUUCUCCAUGAGUAGAGUGAAGAGAUAGGGGGAUAGUGGAUCCCCUUGUCUCAGCCCUUUACCACUACGAAAGACUUUCGUAGGGGCUCCAUCAACUAAAACCGAAAAAGAUGCCGACUUUACCAUUUUCAUUACUAGUUUAACUCACUCCUCACUGAAUCCAAAGUCCUUUAGUGUACCCCUCAGUGCCCUCCAAGCCACUGUAUCAUAGGCCUUUAAAAUGUCGACCUUGAUGCAUGCUCGGGCUGCCGAGGCGGCUUGUCCAAACCCAGUUAUCAUCUUAGUCGCUAAAGCAUAAUUAUCCCCUAUCAGAUGUCCUUUCAAAAAAGCAGUCUGGUUCGGGGCAAUUAUUCUCUGUACUACCGACAACAAUCUUGUUUGAUGAUUUUCGAUAACACUUUGUAGGUGGUGUUGACACACGAUAUCGGUCUGAAAUCCGCCAGAUCUGAUGCAUUUGUCUUCUUUGGUAUUAACGUCACAAAGGUGUGUUUGACCUCCAAUAGAAGGUUUUCCCCCGCAAAGAUGGAUUGAAUGACAUGCACAAGAUCUGGGGCUAUGACUUCCCAUGAUUCCUGAAAGAACUUAGCGUUGAAACCAUCCGGCCCCGGACUUUUGUUUGGGUUCAAGUGGAAUACCGUAUCUUUUAUCUUUUGGUACUCUGGCAUUCUCAUAAGAUUCAGAUUCUCUCCCGACGUGACCUAUCUCUUGAAAGCUCUCCUCGGCCUAAUCAUACCGUUCCCUCUGUCCCUGAAUAGUUCAGAGAAAUAUACCACACAUUUCUCCUCCAUAUCUAUCCUUGACACCAUCAUUUUUCCAUCCCUUCCUAUGAAUUUAUAGAGCGAAUUAUGCGAUUGUUUUUCCCUAGUCAUAGCCGCAAAGAAUUUCGUGUUUUUAUCACCCAGCUUUAACCAUUGCAUUCUACUCCGUUGUCUCAUAUUCUCCUCCUCUGUUUUAAACAUGCCUCUUAGUCUGUCCUGACAUUCCCGUAUUCGUACCUGGAUCCCCUCAUUUCGAGGGUCUAAACGAAGAUCUCCUUCUUCCUUGGUUAGUUGGGCUUGAGCUUUAUCUAGGUUUUUGUUCCCGUUAAGCUUUCGUGUCCAAGGUUUUAGCCCUCUCUUCACCGCCUUAAGUCUCUAGGUGAAUUUGUACAUGGCUUUUCCAUGUACUCUCUUCUCCCAACCCCAUGUUACAACAUCAACAUAUCCCGAUGCCCUGAUCCAUGAAUUUGUGAACCAAAAAGGUUUAACCCUUUUCUCAAAUUCCCUAAGUUCCAUAUGCAUGCACGUAUGGUCAGAUGUGCCCAUAGAGUGGUAUUCCAACUUUCGGAGUGCAUGGCCACAGUUCUAACCAUGCUUCAUUUCCAAACCCCUUAUCCAAUCGACUUGCCCUUCUAUUUUCACCUAUCCUACCAUUGUUCCAGGUUAGGGUGGCCCCUACAAAAGGGAUCUCUCUCAAAAAGCAGUUAUCCAUAGUCGUCUCGAACUCCUCGAUCCGAGCCCACCUCUGAUUCGCCCCUUCCUUCUCCUCCAUUCGGAGGACUUCGUCGAAAUCCCCUAUCACUAACCAUGGUUCAUUCCGGACUAUCACGAGCUCUGAUAGUCCUUCCCAUAACCUCCUUCUUCUAGCUGGGGAUAAUCCGACAUACACCAUGGUGAUGUAUACCUUCAUCCCCCCUUUAUUCUUAGCAUGGACGUGCAUAAAUUGCUUAUGGCAUUUUAUCAGCUCUACAUCCCAUAUAUCUCUUUUCCAUCCCACCCAAAUGCUAUCUACACACCCUAAGACUUCGGAAUUGUUUGACACGCUUCAUCCCGGUCCUCAAAAUCUAAACAGACCGAACUUAUUCCUAUUAAUCUUAGUUUCAAUCAGACCGAAAAGGUCGGUCUUAAGAUCCUUUAGUUUCUUUUUAAUCUCUUCUCUCUUCCCCGGAUCAUUCAUCCCUCUCACAUUCCAACACGUUAUCGACAUAAUUAAUAUAACUAUUGGUUUGGGGCACUCCGAUACCCAUGCUUCCUCUUCAUUAUCCUCCUGGACCUUCUACCCGGUAUUGCUUCUACACCACUCAUAUUUAGGGGAUUUAACUCAUUUAAUUUAUUUAAACUAUUGCUUGACUAAAUUAAAUUCAUACCGUCGUCCCUUAUGUGGGUGGAAUCCUCGCCAUCUGGCACCUCCGACCUUACCUUGUUCACAUGGUCACUCCUGCCCCCUUCCAUCUCCUCUUUCUCCGUCUUAUAUUCUUGCUCAGAUACAUAAUCGGUUUUCUCGUCGUCUGUCUCUUCAUGUUCUCCUAUAUUGUAUGUUCUCCCAUCCUCAUCGCACUCUUCGAACUCGUUCCCUUCCUCCUCUCCUCCCUUUCCAUCCUCCAUCUCUGACGGCCAGUUGUUAUCCACAUUCUGGUGAACGUCGACGUUCUCGCUCAUACCACUGUCUCUGUACACCACAACUUCUCCCAUUUUCUUCGUCGGCCUUGUCUUGGAGAGUCGACGCUCCCCCGUACCUUCUAGUUCAGAUCCCGGCGAUGCAAUGUAGGUAUGACCCGCUCGCCGACGCUCGCCCCCAUCAGUGACCGCUACCUCUCUUCCCCUCCUUGUUAAUUUAAUCGGAUCUCCCAUUUGGGUAUCGGGUCCCCCCUUCUUUCGUGAUUUGAAUAUCGGGUUUGCUCCUUCUCCUCUUUGCCCUUCCCCUCUUCUUUGAUUUAAUCGGAUAACUGGAUACCCGUAUCCGAUAACCCAACACUCUUUUCACCAAAUCCUUAAUUUUCCCCACCACCUUAUCCAUCUCGCCCGUUGGGUCUUGUUAGGCAACCUGCCCCAACACCUCUCCCAUCUUCUUCACUAACCCCAUGUGCUUGUCCACUUCAUUCAGCCUCGCUUCCUCACUCCCAUCGUCUUCACCCUCUCUCACCGUCUCUGCUGGUUCCAAUGUCUCCUCCGACGAUCGUCGAUCCAUCUUGCAGUCUGUCUUGAUGUGACCAAACCUCCAACAAUUGACGAUCGUGAUAUUUAUCUCUACUCCAACCUCGUCGACCAUGGUGAAAGCCAUCGUGCUAGGGAAGUUUGAUGAGCCUUUCAUCAUCACUUUCAACCUCACCACCUCUGUCAACGGCCCCUGUGCGGUCAGUCCAUCCAUCUCCAGUGGCACUCAUAGUCUGCUGCCAAUUGCGCUGAAAACCGCCCUAUCCCACAUCGCCGGCGGGAACUCCGGCAGAACCAUCUAAAUUGGUAAUUCGUCAAAAUCCUCCUUCUCCAAGUGUAUUCCACUACUCCAACUCCUCACCACCUUAUAUCCCCCACCUAUCCACAUCUCCGUUAUGCCCUUCGCCCUCCCCAUAAACCUCUUCAUCAUUUAUCUUCACUAGAAAUGUACUAUUUUUCCUCGACAGUACCACCACCUUGUCGCCGUCCACUUUCCAAAUGAAUUUCAAAGCUGAUUUAACCUGGAAAGCGUUCAUGGAGUUGCCCCCCAACCUCCUCAUUAUCACCGUCCCUGCCCACUUAUCUUUGUUCACUUUGAGCUCACCCAGAAUCACCUUAAUUUUGCCGCCAUCUUCUCUUUUCUCAGAUGAGUCCACAGAAUCCAAGCUUAAAUCGACCACAUCUCUGACCCCUUUCCGUGCCUCCCCACCCUUGACCAACCUUGCCCAUGACAUUCCGGGGGGGACUUGAAGAUAGUUUUCGUCGGUUGGGAACCAACCUUAAUUGCCCACGACAUUCUCAAUUCUCACUUCUACAGUUCUACCCCCAAAGCCAUAAAUGAUUUUUUUUUUGAAACAGUGAUUAAUUAUUACAGCGAAAAAAUGUUAUAGAUUAUAAGUGAUUAGAUGGAAAAUGCAAAUACAUAUAAAUUAAUGGAUGGAUAUAUAGAUUUUGUUUGUGAUAAAUAAAUUCGUAGACAUACUAAAAGCCCAAAACCCCUAAUUAGGUUUUGUGACUUUUGUCCCAUUGAUAUCGCAAUUACUAUUAUAACCUUGUGGGAUGGAAUUACUGUUGCUGCUCCUAUCAAUCUGAACCGUAUAAUGGUCAUCUAUUGUUUUCCUUCUCCCAUCUCCUCUUUGGCAACCAAUAAAUUGUGAUCUAUCUCCGAUGACCGUCUGCGUGCAUUGUCAUAAAAUGGCGUUAUUCCAGAGGAGGAUGCCCCCACAGAUGGUAGUUUCGACAGUAAUGCCUCCAAACUACUCAUUGAUGGUUGGAAGUUUGGAUGAGUUUGGGUGGUCCAGUUCUCCGCCAGUACUGCCUGCCCGUCGUUGCACCCAGAUGCUGCUGUUGUUGCUGCAUAGUCGAGCUUGAAAGGGAAUGCAGAGGAGGAAGGGUGCGGCAGGAGCACGCCGGGGAUGCUCUCCAAAUAGCUGAAUCUCUUGCGUAGAAGAAAAACGUGGCUCAAGUCUUCUACCACCUUAAUUAAAAUAAAAAAGAAUGAUGAUAAUAUGAUAUAGAUAUGUAUGAUUAAGACGGGAUGGGGAUAUAAUAAUUCUGUCUGUUUCUUUCACACAGAUGUAAUAGUAUAAUAAUAUCUAUCGACACAGCAAGAUGUGGUCAUCAUUGAUCAAUCCUUCCCCACCAAGAUGGCUUGGUGGCUACUGGUUUUUGCAGUCGUAUGUUGCAGAUGAAGAUCCAUAUGGAAUUCAGUAUACAGAUCUUGGAUUUUUAUACACAUACGUGAUAUUAUGAUCCAUUUAGAUUAAAGGAGAAAGAAACCUUGUUUAAAGCUCCCAGUUGAACUACACCUUCUUUGACAGCAAUUAGAGCAAUGGUCUGCAUUUUUUGAUGAAACUGAUUAUAGAAGUUUUUUUAAAAAAAUUGAUGAGAUGAAGAAACCAAACCUUGAUUCCAGACUGGAAUUGUGCGUCCCAUAUCCUUGGAUGCUGGUGGAAAUUGUAUAGAAUCAAUAUAUAUAUAUAUAUUAUAUUAAGUCGAGGAAUCCCAAGAAGAAGAAGAAAACCCAAAUUAAAUAUAAUGAACUUACUGAAUCUGCUGUGUUGUGCCAUGAAGAUAAGAAAUUGAUUCCUCGUUCUUGAGGUUCUUUGAAAAUCCACUUGUGGGUAUGAUCUGAAGCAACUUUACCAAUCGAUCUGCACGUAAAAAAUGAGCAUCAAUGGAUGGAUAAAAGUGUAGUUUAAUUGCGAUUAAGUAUAUAUAUGUAAUUAAUUAAUUACCCUUCCCCGUAAUUGUAGAUUUCAUGAGACAUUUUGAAGAAGAGCUCAGGCCGAAGUCCUUUGGUAUCAUGUCCUUGACAUGAAGCUGCAAAGUUGCAGAACCCAUCUUCCCAAACCAAAAUCCUGUGAGUCGUCAUGGUGGAAAAAGGAAAUCAGCCUCAUCCAUCCACACACACACAUAUAUAUUGACAGCCAUUAUAGCAUACCAGUUUCUUCUGUUUCCUCUAGACCUGUCAUACAAGCUUCCAGGAAGAUCCCACCUGCACCAACAGCAAGAUGAGAAGAGAAAUAAGAUCGAUCGAUUGGAAUUAAUUCUUACUUGGGUGGUGGAUAAUUUCUGGGUAGGGUUCUCCAGAAUACUGCGUAAACCCAUUGUGAGUUUCGAUGGAUGCACAAGCUUCUCAAUGUUUGCUGCAACAGAUGGGUAACAGCUAAUGGGUAUUGUACCUGUUGUUGCUCCAUAAAUUCGGCCGGACGGACCUAAGGAUCUUAUUUUUUCUCUUCUAGCUUGUUUAAUUGUCUCUGUUUCUUCUGAAUUUAUACCCAAAUAUGGGAUCAAUCAUCCAUAACUUCACUUUCAUUUACCUGUCAAAAUUAAUUAAUAGAUAAAUAAAUAAAUAAAAAGAUUGUACCGUUUGGUCGAGAAUCAAAGAAAUCUACAGGAUGAGGUCCCCAAAAUCCAAAUUAUCCGAUCUGGUGAUCUCCAUAUUUUUGGCAUUUUAUUAAAUCUUUGCAUUUGCAUUCUAGAAUUCUUCAACAAAAUAUAGAUUUUUAGUUAGCCGCGUCCUUCAAUAAUUUCAUAUCAUACAUGCAUUGCCCAUUGGGCAAGCAAGAUAGUAAAGAAAGCGCACAGCCCAAAGAUUCAUGACCCCAAAGAUUCAUGACCCCAAAGCAUACAAAUUAAAGCUGUUCUACUACGUCUACAUUUUUCUGCCAUUAAAAUAUUCACAGAUGAAUCAGAAUAUAAUAUAAGUCAAUAAUUAGAAAACUACCCAUACAUCGUAAAACAAUCCAUGUGACAUUGAUCGAUGAUUAAAUUCCGAAAUCCAUCAACUUGCAUUGUGAGUUUGUGACCUUAAUUACUUGUGGAAAGAAUUGCUCGACACGUGUAAAGAUAGAUCUACUUAACCCGGUGCCUAACCAUCCAGUCGACAAAACCAAAGGGGAUCGAUCGUUUUUACCGCUUUUAGGUAAGAGACAAGUAGACGGCAUUUGGUCAAAUGCCUGUCCUGUCCGAUUCCAAGCAAUCACGUGAAGCUUUUCAUGAUUACCGUCAUCUUGAUUAAUCAGCUCUGUCAAGUGAUUAAGAUUAAUCAAUCGAUGUGAUCCGACGGUUUCAGCUGGGGCCGGAGAGAAGGUACGGUGGGGGACAUCGAAUGCGACUAGAAUCCAUUUAUCAUAUGGAGGAGAAAGAAUAAUGCUUGGUACACAAAUGUCGGAGCAUCCAAUCACAAAAAACAAGACUGCCUGCCCAGUGUCCACGGUGGUACCCCUCGCCUCUCGUUUCUCGUGAAAUCGAUGCAGCUAGGUUUUGUAUUUUGUAGCAUGAAAACAUAAAAGAGGUAUCAGGUAAUCGGAUCUAACAUUCUUACCAAUUAUUUAUCAGUGCUUGUGACAUCACGUGUUGGCAAAGAAGAGUAUUCUGUAUUCCCAUUUCGAAUUACGUACGUAUUCAGUAUUCUUUCCUUUAAAGGUAGAAUUGCACCAAAUUCCAAAAUAAAUGAACAAAUUAAGUAAACAAUCAACUAUUUGGUGAUUUGCAAUGACGGACACUAUUUUCACCCACCACCUCCUCUUCUUCUCAUCUUCCGAUAUUGCCACCAGACAACAUUCCGUCGCCUCAUUCACGUCGGGGUUUGCAUCUGUUUACCGUCAGCGACGACCCAAUUCGUUGACAAUAUCCAUCGGUUGUGAUGACCGCAGUUCCAUCCACUCGGUCAAGUCGACACCACCAAAUUCAGAUUCAUCAUCGUCCUCUCCAUUAUCGAUUGAUCACUUGGAUGAAAUAAAGAAGCGAAAACUGAUUCUUCAGAACUUCGCUUACACCCAUGAAGACGAUCGUGGGUCUCUGCGAAUCCGCCUCAUGUCCUCCGGUGAGGUCGAUCAAACAUGUGUUCUUAUUGCAGAUUCCAUCCCCGAAUCCUCCACGCUGUCCAGGUGGAAUUUCAAAAGGUACGUACGUAUUUAUAUUUACUAUCUGUUUUUUUUUUAGAUUAGGACAGUAUUUGAUCGAUCUUUCGUAUAGGAACGUAACGGAGCUAGAGUUCUUGGUGAAACAAUACCUCGAUAACCAAAGAACCGUCUUUCCUCACUCGGCGACGCUUGUAGGGUUUUACAAACAAAAGAAUAACAAUCCCGGAGAAGAAGAGGAGAAAGUUGCAUGUACGGUGGAGAUUUCGUUUAAUGCAUUGGGUAUGCACUCCUUUCCUUCGACCCCAUUACCGCCCAGAGAUCAUCCCUACAUCUGUAACAUGGUUGUCAAGAGGGAACUCCGGAGGAAAGGAAUAGGUUGGCAUCUGUUGAUGGCAUGCGAGAAAUUAACGAGUCUCAUAUUCUCUUCCGAUAACAAUCCACACCCACAAGCUCCUACGGUUUAUCUCCAUUGUAGAGUCGUUAAUUUAGGAGCUUUAAGCAUGUACAAGAAGGCCGGUUACACGGUUGUCAAGACGGAUAACAUACUGGUUUGGCUUUCGUUUCAUCGACGCAAGACAUUGAUGUUUAAAAAACUAGAACAGUGACAGAAAUAUUAGCUUAAUAAAAUAUAUUAAUGCAGUAAACUAAAAUAUAUUACCUUACAAGAAAAUAUGUGAAGAGUUGUUAUAAUUCAUCAGAAAAUGAGUUGAUUGAUACCGCCUACCUCCAACCAGAUGGCGUGCUCCAAUUCAUGUGAAUGUAAUUUGUAUGAAAGACUGAUUGAAUUAUUUCGUGUGUAUGUACGCCUAUUUAUAUUACUAUUACAUAGUUUUAUUAGUACUAACUGAUUAGAUAUAUCUAAUUGAAUACAGCUAUUAAUAUACCUCUUCAAUCUUGGGAGAGGCUUCAAGGCUUUGGUUAGUAUGUCGGUUUUCUGAUGUACUCCUGGUAUAUGUGAUACACUUAUUGUUCGGAUAGCUACAUGUUUUAAUUUCGUGUGACAUACUGAAUUUGAAACCAUAUAUGUUGCACCCAAGUUGUCGAACCUGAGUGUCAUCAGUAAUCGUGCUUCAAUGCUUAAUUCCAAUAAUAGAUUGCGUAUCCAUUCAAGUUCUGUAAUUGUUGUGGCAAUUGCUCUAUAUUCUGACUCCGUACUUGAUUAAUUUUGCCAUGGUAUUUUAUUUUUUAGAGUUCAUGCAACAAAAGAUUCGUCUACAUAGAUGAGAUAGUCUGUUUGACUUUUGCGGUCAUCAAUAUCCCAUCCUCAAUCUGCAUAGUUUUAUUAGUACUAACUGAUUCCAGUUAUAUCUAACUGAAUACAGCUAUUGGUAUUCGCAGCCUAAAUGCCCUUAGCAUAACCGUGCUUCACCUUCUUCCUAAUAGAUUCGUAUAUGUUCCUUCUUGCAUGAUGGCCCCGAACUUAAUCCUUCCCAAGCAACCUCUCCUUCUCUUCCCAACCUCGCACCCAGAAUUUCCUUCCACCCAAUGAAGGCCGAUGACCUCGCCGUUGCUUCAUCCAACGUUUGUUAACCCAUGAGCUCGAUCCAUGCUGAUUCUCCAUUCUCCUAUAUCUUGUUAAUUGUCGCAUCAUCCAUCACCCUAAACUCCUAGACAUUAAAGCCCUAUUCUUCCUUAGCGUAACUGUUUCCCACACCGCUUCUUUCUUCCCCGCCCAUAGAAAUCCAUAUCCAAUUGCUCUGAUCUUCCUCAUUGAUCAACGUCUUUUUAGGUAACCUAUAAGCUUGCACCCAGUAGUUGACUUGGCCGCAAAAUACCCAAUUCAGCAACUGUAGCAACUUUCUUUGGCUUAUUGAGCCGGGUUCGGCUUGUUAAAGAGUUAUCCAUGCUCGGGAUUAGGUUCGAGCUCGUCGAACCUGAUUUGGUUUGGCUCGAGCUCGAACUUAAUAUGAAGUUACAAGUUAAAAUAAAUAUUUUGAAAGAAUAGGAUGUCAAACCUCUCACAUGUUAAACAAUUACUUUAUCAUCUAAGUUAUAUACUCAUUUUCUUCUAAUAUAUAUAAUAUUUUAUUAUUAUUAUUAUACAUUUAAACUUCUCUUACCAAACCCACCAAGUUUAAGGAAGGCUCUUGAGCUAGAUGCUAGAUAUAUAGACGUUAAAUUCGAGUUUGGUUUACAUAUGUAAUUUUUAUUAAAUUUUGACAAAGUAAUAGUGUAAUAUUAUCGUGGAUUAUAUUCAAUUAAAAAAGAGUGAAAAUCCAGGUUUUUAAAUUCAAAAAUGAAAACGUAAUUGACGACAACAUGUGGGCGACUGGUCUGCACGCAAAACGGGCCAUCUAAGCAAGGUUUGGGAAAAGUAAGUUCCGCCCGAUCGGUCAUACAUUUUACGGCUUUCCCCCACGGGGUUUCAACUACCACUACAACAACCUCCACAAUAACCAUGUCUCAAGAACAAGAAGAAAACCCCAAUUUUAAUCCAUACGAUGGUCAUCAGCAUUCCUACGCGAUCGAGCUCUACUUCGAUCCGGCACUCGAGAAUCAGGUUCUCAAAGCAUGGAACGUCCUUGCUCGCCGUCAAAUCACCACCCACUUGAUCUCCAUUUCGUCGCGCCCGCAUAUCACUUUGCUCGUCGUGUCUUCUUCGAACCCUAACGCUCCUUCUCCUCCUCCAUCCGCGGCUCUGCACUCUGCAAUUCGCACAUUCGCGACCCGCUCUGAGCCUUUUCCGAUCUGUCUCACUUCUGUCGCGACUGCUGGAUCCAACUCCCUCUUUCUUCUCCCGACCCCGACGAUGCCGCUGCUGCAGAUGCACUCGCGUCUCUGCGAGGCUGUUGGAAAAGAAGGGGUGGAAGUUGGAGAGGAGUACAGGCCUGACACGUGGCUUCCUUGCUGUUCUCUAGCAGAGGAUGUCUCUAAGAGUAGUAUGGCAGAGGCUUUUGGUGUGUUGAAGGACAUGAAACUGCCUGUCGCUGGGUAUGUGAUGGAUAUCGGCAUUGUGGAGUUCGGGAAUACAGGCUAUGGGCCUGUUAAAGAGCUUUUUUCAAUACAGCUGGGAGGGAAUGGUGCUGGUGCUGGCUUGCAGGAUGCAUGAGAGAAGGUGAUCUUGCUUCUUUGUCUUCUGUUAUACUUCCAAUGCCUUUGUUUGUGCUUUCUUCUCUACAAUUAGUGUAAUCCAAUGAUAGAAAAUAUGGGUUUAGCUCUUAAUUUUAUUUUCAAGAUUCUCAAUUUACGAUGCUUGCUUGUGUUUCAAUUUUUUUUUUUAAGAUUAUGUUUCAAAUUUAUAUUACAUGGAAAUUGACAUUUUUUCUAUCUGGUUUUCUGAACAAUGCCUUUUUUCUUUCUCCUAUCAGUUCAUUGUUUUGUCAUUUUAAUCGUUUCAAAUGAAAUUUCUUUGCGUAAAUAAACCUAAAUUCUAGCAAUAGAUGCUCUAAUAUAUUCAGUCACUACAAUAGUUAUUUUUAUCACAUACAUAUCUUAUUCUUCUGCAUUUUUUUGAUAACCAUGAUCCAAUAUAUUAUCGAUUCUUAUAUUCCAAAAUGGAUCAAGGAAUUUUCUAAUUUUAGGAGUGUGAGUGUGAUACUGUGAUAUGCGGCAUAUGCCUUUAUUGAUUCUUUUUAAGAGUCGAUUCCAUACUUCUAAAUAGCGGAUAGCGGUCGCUAUUAGAGCAUAUAGUAUUUUACCCAUUUUUUAUUUUUUGCAAUAUUCUACCUGUAAGUACAAGUAUGUAAUAGUAAAUACUUGUGAAUUAAACAUCUUCAAAAUUAAAAUAUAUAGUAACGUUGAAACUUCAAAUAGUAUGAAAAUUAAAAAGUAUAUAUGUAUGAAUGUAUCAAAGUAGCUAAUAUCAAAUUUUAAUUUCUAAGGUCGUGUCAUAUCAUCAUCGGAUUCAGAUAGCUUUAGAUCCUUAAUCUCCCUUAUUAGAGCUUGACUCUCUGUCAAUUCCUCCUCACUGUCCCUUUGUCAUGCUUGACUCCUUGUUUUACCACCAACAUGUUCAUCCAGUCCGCAACCUUUGCCGCUGUUGACAAUGUCAAUCCCUCUUCUCCAUAAACGAACUCAUUAGAGACUCCCUCUGUACUUGUCAUCCAUUCUCUAUUGUAAUUCAAUGUGUUUACUUCAAUUAGAUCAAAAGGAGUUCCAUUAGCUUGAUUAAGCCUUAAAGAACAAUCAUUGAUCACCAAUUCGUCACAUAAUGGAUGAAAAAUGGUUGGACCAUCCGGAGUUUCAUCAUUUGAAUCUCUUUCAUUGUCGGAAUGGACGGACUAAAUGUUUUCGUUGGAGAACAUGAAGUCUGAAAAUAACUAAAACCCUAAAAAAAUAACUCAAGAGAACAAUUUUCCUACCAAAAUCAGAGUUCUGGUCAGAAAUCAGUCAUCACCUGAGGUCGCCGGAAUGAGGUCUGGCCGGUGGAAGAAGGGCUGCUCGGAAGAAAAUUCUCGUUGGAAAAGCCCUAGUUCUUUUUUAAACAAAAGAUUUUAAUUCAUUGUAGUUGGUUCAUUGGGUGGAUCCAGCUAAGGAAUAGCGCUAUGUCCUGCCAAACCGCUAUAUCCGCGCUAUUUAAAACUAUUGUCGAUUCUGUAAUCUUGAAAUACUUAAUUUGUUCUUCAUUAUUUUCUUUGUUAAUAUUUUAGUUUUUAUGCUCCUUUUUCUUCUUCUUGUAUUGGAUUUUUUAACUUGAUAUUGGGAUCAGUCAGUUAACGUGAUUCAAUAAGGGAAUUUGAUUUGGUUAUGUUUUAUCAUUUGGAAGAGAAAAAUUGUUGGGGGUUUGGUUUAGGUUUGUUGUGGAAAAUAGGCAGAGUAUGGAGUGCCUUGUGGUCAAAACCCCAGUGAUUCCAAUUUCCAGAAGCAUCGGUUUUAUUUAAAAAUACCUCUUGUUUUGAUGUUUCGAACAGUAUUUAUCAUUAUAUUUUCAGGUUUUGAAACUUUCAGAAUUUUUAAAAAUUAAAAUCAUAUUAUUUAUGAAUAAUUUAAUUUCGAAGAUGAAUUAAUAAACAGUAAUCAGUUUAUGUCUAUUUGUCAUUUCUUUGCAGAAUAAUUUAUAGUUUUUAGCUUCUACCAGAUUUAACUUAUAUGCUUUUAUGUUUCCUCGUUGCUUUCCAAAUGAAUUCUUUUCGCCCAUUUUUUAUGUUAUGUUAUUCAAUUAUAAUUGAUAAAGGAGUAAGCUACUAAUCUGGAGGUUGUCAAAUACUCAAAACGAAGCGAAAAAUUAGGUUUGAUGCGAUCUUUGUUAAUAUUAGACUCAGAGAUGUUAAAAAGAGAACGAUAAAUUAACAAAUACAAUUUAGAUCUAAUGGAUGUCACUACAAGUGGUGGAAUGCUUUUAGAAGUUAGAACUUAGAAAAAUUUAUCUGCAACCACUUGAGGUUAGUGGUUAGUGUCCUGAUAUCUUCAUGGACACAAAUUGAGAUCUACAUUGGUUAUUAUCGCCUAUUAAUAUGUAAUGAUUACUGGUUUAAAAAGUAAUAACAUAAAAUGUAGAGUAUUAUCAAAGUGUUUAGUUUGAGUAUCUAUUAGUAUCAAAGUCUAAUCCCCAAUUUCCUCUUGAAUGUGAUGAGGGUUCAUCCUUCUUUUGCUUCUUUGAUAAGUGUGAAUGAACCUUUCAUUAAUUGCAUCUUAAAUUGUAAUUAUGAAGUAAAUUGCCAUGUACUUGAACAUUUUUUAUUUAUAACUAUAGUGUUAAUGAUGUUUCUUUUUAUGUAUAAAUACCAAAAUUAAUAUUGAAGCUUUCAUUUUAGCCGAGUUUUAAAUUCAACAAAAGCUUCGUGAUCUGUCCACAAAUAUUGGGUUCAUAUUUUUAACUUUUUAAAAACAAUCUUGUAUUAAUUCUGUUAUAAAAACCUCAUUUUUUUCUUUCUACUUGAAGAUUUUCAUAAUAUCUAUAAUACUUUUAAUGUGUGAAUGAGUAGGUAAUUAUUGUAUUAAUGAUAUGUUCUCAUUUUAUAUCUGCAACCUACUUGAUUUUUGUGAUGUGCAAUGCCUGAGGUUAGCAAUUAUGAUUCUCCAUUUUAAUUUACCUUGUUACAUGUCAUGCGUGGGAUUAGGAAUUUUCCUUUUACCAAAAAAAAUCUUAACAAUUCAUUUCAUGUCGUGCGUGGGGUUAGCAAUUGCCAUUCUUCAUGUUUACAGAUGAAUUUAGCAACAUAUAGAAUGCUUUCCAUUUGUAAUCUUAUAUUUUAUGUUGUUGUUUCUGUCUUGAUAUUUAUAUUUUAUAUAUUGGGUAUCCAUUAUCGAACUAUCCAAUCCAUUGAUUUAAUUUCUUAUCAUCUUGUGAUUCAUUUAUUUAAUUUCUUAUCAUCUUUUGUUUCAUUUUAUAUAUUGGAUAUUUAUUUUAUUUCUUAUCGAUUUUUCUUAUAAUAUGACAGGCUUUUGAGCUUCUUGGACAUAAAUGUACGUUUCCUAAGAAAGAAGCUCCAUGCCAGUAAAAUUCCCUGAGGAGUGUAAGAAUUGAAUACUUCUUGAUCAGGCAUUAAUUUUAAUCUCUUUAUCUACCUCUGUAAUUAUAUUACAGUGUUGGUUAGGUAAAGCAGAGUAGCAGACGGUGAGACAGGAUUUGAUAAUACACUAAUAGAGAUUUUAUUUGUUUUUGUUUAUUUUUCUGUUCAUAAAUUAUACUUUCUAAUUAUGUGGCAAAAUCUGCCAAAAGCACAAUUAACAGGUAAUCCAUUUUUUUUUGUACUUAUUUAAAAAAUAUGGUCUUAUACUCUUAUCAUUGAUAAUGGUAUAUAGAGAUUAAUUUCUAAUGGGUUUAUUCUGUAUAGUAUAGGAUUUCAUUCUGUUUAAAAAUUCUAUCGGUUGUUACGUGUUGUUACAUCUCUAUUCGCUAUGCAUUUUGUACUUGUAAUUGUAUGAUUGUACCUGUUCAUUUUUCAAUACAAUUCUAGAACAUUUAAAGAUCAUACAAGUUACACUGACUUUACCUGAGUAAUUAUUUAUAAGUUUUUUCGUUGUUGUCUUGUUGUAGAUAUGAUUAUGGUAAUAGAUUAAUCUUUAAGAUUGAUAAGAGAGAUCGGGAUUUCUAAAUUUUUUUGACAUUUUAAAUUUUUGAUCUCCGAAAUUUUAUAUAAUUAACCGUAGUUUUUGAUGAUACCUAAGAAUAACAUUCAGUCAAAUACAAGAGUCCAAGAGUCUAAGAACGUCUUUAGGUCCGACACCGUUCGGACCCAGACCGUGUUUUGUAUACUGGCUUGCUCACUUUCAUUUAGCUGGCAAUCUGACAUGCUGUCCUAUUAUUGUAUUGACCAAUGUGUAUUUGUGUAUCAGGUUUUCUGACAAAGUAACGUGGCAAGAAGUCCGUUAUUGACGGGCAAGCUUAACUUAAACUUCAUUAGACAAAUAAUAGAUAUAGAUUAGAACAGCGUUCACAUGACAUGCUUACAAUUACAAUUGACGGGGCCAACUGGCAACGUGGGAAGUGGAGUGAGUAUUGGGAAAAGAGCACCUAGGAUUUAGUGGGGUAGUGUAGUAGUGGGUUGUUGGUAGUGACUAGUGGCUAAAAUAAUUAUCAUUGUUGCUUCCACUUCUUCCACCAGUUUUUUACUAUCUCCAAGUAAAUCUGAUUCCACGUAUCGAUUGGACCAGGCAGACACCAAUGGACGCAGUCGUUCUGAACUCUUUCCCCUACGCCAUGGGCGAAUGGGAACGGCAGCAUGUACGGUCCAGGAUGACCGUCUGGACGUAACACAGCUAAUCUCGUCACGUCCAAAAUUGCAAACUCCACCGACCUAUUCUUUUUUUUUGUCACCGCCGCAACCGCUUCCACCUGUCUCCGUCUCAUCUCGGCGUUCAUACCUUCGACCACCACAUCGUCUCUCUCCGGCUCCUUCUUCGGACAAGCUCCGGCCUUAUCCCACUCUCCCAGGAAAUGUGAAGGAGAGAAAGUCGUCACUGUCACCAACUUGUUCUUUUUCUUCCCGUCAUUUGCGCCGUUGAUGUGAUUGAGAGACGUAUCGAAAGCCAUACGGAACACGUCGUAGAAAUCCACCUCCGUGUGAUUCAUUCCGCCGCAGAAGUGGCAUCUGCGUUCGUAAGUAUAAUCAAUCUCGUAUAUCAAUCCUAAAUUAAUAUGUGAAUUGAUGAUUGUGUUGUGAUUUUUUUGUAAAUAAUGUACCCGAGACUGGAAGAUCCAUUGUUGUCCAAGUAGAUCGCCGGGUGAAGAAACCAAUGUCCGAUGGCGAACACGAUCAGGUCCAUUUCGUCGAUCUCCAUCGCCCACCGUUCGUCAACGAUGUCCAGAAAUAAAGUAUUGUAGUUCAGACCUUUGGAUUCGUCUUUCUCAAUUCCUUUGAUCAAGAACGGUGACCAGUAGAUCGAAAUCGUUGUGUUGUACGGUUUUGGAAACCUCCAUCUUCGGAAUCUGCUGUCUUCCCCAUUGUGGUACAUCAUGUCCGGAGUCACCUCCGUCGACAGAAGACAUAAAAGGGAUUCCAACUGAUUCCUUGCAAGUGAAUCUCCGAUGAAUGCUAAAUGUUUGUUUCGUAACAUGCGGAGGAAACUAGUGGCGUCAAAAGGCGCUAGAUGAUCGCAACCGUUUGGUUGCCAUCUCCAUCGGAGGUAUCCGGUGUCAGGACGUCCGUGCGCCAUGCAAUUUUGACCUUCUUGGAUGAUGCUCCUGCACGUUGUGUCAUUAUAGAGAUACCCGGCGUCGUUGUCUUGCACCCAUCGCCCAUCGGUAAAGUCACAUUCUGCAAAACCAGGUACAGAUCACGAAAGAUCAAAUGAACAUAAAAAUCAAAGAGCUGCAGACAGACGAAACUGCAGGAUUUGGCCACCUUGAGGAGAAGAAGAGUCGGUUGUCGAUGCACUCACCGGAACCCGGAACCCUUUUUCUCUUUUCUUUUCUAUGUUCUUCUUCUUGUUUUCAUUGUUGAUAUUGAAGCUGGGGUUGACGGAAGUUUCCGCGAGGGAAGGAGGAGGAGAAGCAGACGGUUGAAGAUGGUGAGCGAAGAAGUAGAGAUGGAGGAGGAGUAAAGGAAGGACGACGUAAAGAACUCUGUUUCCGAGAUUCCUGGUAAGAUAAGAAGAAACCGGCUGUGAUGGGGUAUUUUGGACAUGCCCAUGACCAUGGUGAUGAUGUUCCUUGCCAGGAAACGUCAUUCCUCGGAAGAGAAUUUGACGGUGGACGAUGAUGACGGCAGCUGUUGCUAUGGCCUACGGCGAGCGACCAGCAUUGAUUGAAUGGAGAGCAGAGGGGAGAAAGAGGAGGAGAUGUAAUUAAGACAUUUAAUAUGAAGACGAUAGAUAAAGUGAUUUUUUGUUGUUCGGGUCUGACAUGGUAACCCGGAAACCCGGACCCUAAUAAAGUCAGUGUAUCUCUGACUCUGUUACUAUCUAUGUCCAUCGAUCCUCGUCCAGCCAUCCGCAACAACUAACCUCUCUCCGUCCGCCUCUUCCCAUGCACGGAAAAAUUAAUCUCCUCUCCGUCCGGAGUUUGGUCAAAAUAAGCUUGGCUACAUUUCUGGAAACGCGAUGCACCGCCGACGUCACCUCCUCUUCCUUCUCCUUGAUAUCCUUUAUUUGGCGGUGGCAGUACGUAUUGAUGCCACUGCGACGCCGGCGGAAGGGGAACUCAGCGUCGAUUAUUACAAAAAGUCGUGUCCAAACUUGCAGAACGUGGUGCAGCAAACGGUGACUGAUAAGCAGAUUAAAACCUCAAGCACCGGCGCCGGUGUUCUUCGUUUAAUCUUCCACGACUGUUUCGCGACUGGAUGCGACGCGUCUAUACUCAUUUCCUCUAAUAGCUUCAAUAAGGCGGAGCGUGAUGCGGACAUCAAUCUAUCCCUCCCUGGCGAUGCCUUCGACGUCGUGGUAUGUAUGUAUUUACAGUACCGGAAAUCAGUCAGUUUGAGAAAUCAAUUAAUCGUUGUACUGAUUAGGUUCGUGCUAAGAUGGCGCUGGAGACGGAAUGUCCGGGGAUCGUAUCAUGUGCAGAUAUUCUUGCUUUGGCAGCUCGGGAUCUUAUUAUCAUGCUCGGCGGACCAUACUUUAAUGUACAGCUUGGUCGAAAAGACAGUCUCUCCUCUCAUGCUUCCGAUGUUGUGGGUAAAAUCCCAAUGCCCACCAUGUCAAUUGAAGAGCUCAUCACCCUCUUCAAGAACAAGGGUUUCACUGCUCAAGAAAUGGUUGCUCUCACCGGUGCACACACAGUUGGCUUCUCUCAUUGCAAGGAAUUUGCAGACAGGUUUGUCGGAUCGGAUAUUGAAAUUAGUCAAACGAGAGCUGAUUUGGUUUUUGUGUUGUUUGAAGGGUGUUUUCCAACGAGAGUGAUCCCAGUUUGAACCCAAGGAUGAAACUAGGGCUUAGGAAGGCAUGCCAUGAUUACAAGAACCGGACGACGGUGGCAGCAUUCAACGACAUUAUGACUCCAAACAAGUUCGAUAAUUUAUACUACCAGAACCUUCCGAGAGGUCUAGGGUUACUGUCUUCCGAUGUUGCACUGCUUACGCACCCUCAAACCAGACCAUUCGUGUUGCUCUAUGCAGCCAACCAGACAGCUUUUUUUAGGGACUUCGUUCUCGCCAUGGAGAAACUCAGCUUGGUGGAUGUCAAGAAAGGGAACAGGGGGGAGGUUCGCCGGAGAUGUGAUGAGUUCAAUGAAUUAAACACCUCAAAUUAAUUAUUUUAUGUUUAUAUAGGAGGGAGAGGGAGAAGUCGCAACUCGUCUGGAGGCAGUGGAGGGGCUUCAGAUCAAUUAAAGUGAAAUUAAUAACAUAAUUAAUACUGUAAAAUCUUCAAAUUUUCAAACCUUCGAUUAAUUGCCUUGAGAAAAAACAGGGUUAAAUUCAAAGUUUAGUUUAGGGCUUAUUGGCUUAAGGUUAAGUUUCCUCAUUAAAUUGUUCUCGUAAUUACUUUAAUCUUUAUCAUUGCAUGCUUAACUUGUUUUAGAUUUUGAAAUUAUACGUCAAUAUACAUACUAUACUACUAACAUAUACAUAUGUAAAAAUAUGUUUGAUUCAUUAUCGAACGUUCGUUGUAGAAAAUUAACUUAGAAACAGGAGAUAGAAGUUUCUUGAUUUUCAGCUGAAAUCAAAAUAUCAGUCAGAGAAACAUGCGACUAUGCGAGGUAUUGAUCCAGCACAUCAUAUUAGAUCAACUUUUGAGCCGACAAGACAACAAACCCAGUGGUAUUUCUCUUCGAUCUGCAAGAAUACAAGAGCACAGAGUGGCAAAGGAUAAACACUCAAUAAAUAUUUUUGUGACGAUCUGCAAGGUCCAAAUUCUUAGUAUUUCAAAAUUUGAGACAGUUUGCCAGUUUGGGCCUUUGAAGGAUCAUUCGUAAAAACAUUCUUUUUUGUGUUGUAUAAGAGUAUAACUAAUUCCUCAGUAAAGCAAAAGUAACCAAUUAUUAAUAUCUGCUUACCAACUUCAGCAAGGCUUCUUGUCCAUGCCUAGAUUAAUUUUAUACCAUUUCUUUUUCCUUUUGCCUGACUCUUCUCUUGAUGCAGACAUAUUUCCUUUAGUUUGAUGUUCUCUCGCAUCUUCAGAUUCUUUUGAUGAAGAUUUUAUCCUGUUGAUCCUUGAACUUUUUUUGGGUUUUGAAUUAUUGGUAUAUACAGCAUGAGUGGCCUCCCUCUCUUUAAGAAGUCUAUCGAUCUGUUUCAAGAAAAAUUGGUAAAGAAUAAAAAUACUGAAGCAUAUUUCAUAAUCCAUAUAGACAUAUAUAGAACUCACGGAUUCCAUUUCUGAUGUAUAUCUACCGGUCAUCCCAGAAAACUGGAUCAGCACCUAAUGAAAACAAAUAUAAACAAAGAAAAUAUUCAAACAAAAAAAAAAAAGAAUUGCAAACACACACACUGAUGACUCAUGAGCCUUCUAGUCAGCUAAAUAACCUCUCUGUACUCUGCCUCAAAAUUAGAAAGUUCAGCUCUUUUUGCUAAUAUUUUUUCCUCCACAACUUGAAGCCUUUGUUUUUCCUCAGAAAACGAAGCAGCACAUACAACCUUUAUUGUAUAACUUGCACUUUUAAAAAAGUUAUCACCUGCAGAAUUGCGGAGGUAAAUGAGUGUAAAAGUAAUAUAACAUGAUAUGUAAUUGAUAGUAGAAUAUACAAUCUUAUUGGAAAGUAAACAAGAGGAUUAUAAAUAUAUAAAAACAAUACUUGCCAUAGACGGAAAAUAAAUGUGUUCCUGCUUUCAACUCAUGUAUUUCACAAGGCUGAAAUCCAUCCAACUUUUUAAAGAAUGUAGAAUCGUCAUCUUUUGAAGCUGCCAUCUGGGUUGAAAAAAUGAUGGUUGAAUGGAAAUAUCAUCAGGGAAAAAAAUUGAAAAUGGAUGAUGAAUCAUUGUCUUUACCGAAUUACUAGUUUGUUCUAAAUGGUAAACUGGAAACCUAAGGAAAUACAUCCCAGCCGAUGUGAACUUUCCCGUUUUCAAACUGUCUUCCUGUAUCAAAAGCAAACAGUAAAUAAGCAGUAUGACCUGUUAAAUUAGAUCUAGAAACCAACAUAUUGCAGUGUUCUGUGUUCACAAGUCAAAACUGUGUUUUAUUUAAAUUGUGCUGAAAACACUAAUUGUGUGGUACUCUAAUUGACUAGCAGAAUGACAAUUUUAGGAAUCCCUGGAUCAGCAAUAUUUGAAAAAUAUUGGAAUAACAAAAAAUAAACAAAUAACUAACUAACAAGGUCUGAAGUAAAAAAAUCCAUUAAGGUAGGGUACUUUCAAGGAUAAAUAAUACUAUAGUUUGAUAUUUUAGUUUCAUGCCUAUUAAAUAGGAUUGAAAUAUAAACAUACCUGUAGGGCAAGACUCAGCCCCCCGUUCUCUUCCUUCUCAAAGUACAACAGCUAUAGCAAAAAUAAAAAUAAUAAUUAAUUUAAAGAACAAACAUUCCAAAAUUGAGUCCAUCACAUGUAACCGCUUAUAAUGCGACUUUUACAGCCAAGCAAUCUGGACGGCAUAUCUCCCUCAAGAGUUGAGAUAUCGAGAUAUGUGGUACUCGACUACUCGUGAUAUGUGCUAGAUAUGAAUGAACACAUUUCCUAAGAGAGAUAUCUGGUCCAGAUUACUUGGUUGCACUUUAUCGCAUUAUAUGCAAUUGCAUGUGAUAUUUACUCAACAACUCACAUGAAAAGUAUCCUUAUAUAAAUUAUAACAUGGAAGAAACUAAAAUACAUAUAGCAAUAAAAACAUGAACCAGAUAUUUUUAUAACACGGAAGAAACUAAAAUACAUAUAGUAAUAAAAACAUGAACCAGAUAUUUUUAGAGGAGAGUAAAAUGGAAGAUAAAAUGAUGGAAAACACAAAAUAGAAAAGAAAAGACACACAUUCAAUAAACAAAAUGGAAAACUACAAUGUAGAAACUUUAACAUUGCAUAAUAGCAUAGGAAUUGACACAGAGAUUCAUUCGAUUUUCUAUGGGAAAUUCAUACUAUUUUCAUUGUUUCUUUACUUUUUUAAUAUUGUUUGUUGAUUGAAGUUGACAGAACUAAAAAAAGUUUACUACUAUAUUACAAGGAAAACAUAGAACCAGAAUGAAAUUGCAAGAUGCCAAAUUUUCUAGAUCAUUCAUUCUACAGUUUCUACUAAAUUACCUUGAACUUGCUUUUGUUAGAUGAAUGUACUCGGCACACGAUUCCAGCUUCUGCCUGCUCUUUUGUUAGUUGCACAGAAUAAAAAUGAGCACACUGUUUCUCUACCUGUUUAACCAAUCAACAGAGAGGCAUUAGGCCAUUAAACAAUAAAAACAUAGUGACACAGACCAAGGUAAUGCUAAAAAUAAUUAACCUUUUUAGAAAGAGACUGCCCCAAUCGAAGUGGUAAAAUUUCAACAUUACCAUUAAGAGCCUCCUCCAAAACAAUUGUCGAUAUGGUUGUCUUAAUAUGUACUCCAAGUUUACUAGUACCCCCAAAAAACAUAAAUCAAUCACUGUUAAAGUCAUAUAUAU
This 30921-nucleotide long non-coding RNA is filed under the name Zostera marina. RNAcentral's name for it is "long non-coding RNA (ZMAR_LNC002118)". The record is from RNAcentral. Lineage: Eukaryota; Viridiplantae; Streptophyta; Magnoliopsida; Alismatales; Zosteraceae.